Long non-coding RNA from Triplophysa rosa, 1419 nucleotides. RefSeq lists it as uncharacterized. Lineage: Eukaryota; Metazoa; Chordata; Actinopteri; Cypriniformes; Nemacheilidae. The record is from RefSeq and is a predicted model, not a curated record. The transcript is spliced from 3 exons.
AACACAAAUGCUCAGUGUUUCUCUUUCUCUCUCUCUCUCUCUCUGUACCUUUUAGAGGAUCUCCCCUGUUUCAGCUUCAUUACUCGCAGUCUGUGUUAGAGAUGAUAUAUGUGAUAUAGACGUCUCUCUUACUGAAGUAAUUAUUAUUGUGUUGUUUUGUUUUGUUUCUGUCUAACACAGUGACACAGGUGAUAAUAAAGGUCUCAUCUGCGGUGUUCACAUUUCAUUUACAGUAGCGGACGUCUCAGGGUGGGGGGGCAUCAGGUGGGGGUGCAUCUGUCCUCAGCCAGCCGUCUCACUUCCUGUGGUGAUGUCAUCAGUUCAGGAGUGUGUGUUUGUGUAUAAAUGACACUCAGAUGUUUGUUUGUCAGUAAGUGAUGGUGGUUUUCAUUCACUCAUUUGUUUGGUGUGAAGCAGCGCGAGGGCGUGUCCUCGUGGGAAGUCGCCGAACUGGACGGUUUUCAUUUGCAUAUUAGAUCACAUGCGUGGAUUGAACACAGAAAUUCACCACAAGCUCUACUGCUACGUAAAGAGUUUCAACAAACCAUCAUGAGAAAUCCUUCACCUUGAAUGAUGUCAUUAAUGGUCGGUUCUAGGGGGGCCAGAGCCCCUGUUUUACUACAACCGAGCAAUUUCGGGUGCAAUGCACAGUUUGUCCUGCGAGUGGCAGUAAUGAUGCUUGUGAGCCAGAAGGAAGAUUACGCAAGCAAGACGCAAACAAUGUCGAGUCUGUGCGUCUUAAGCGAGAUUACGUCUACAUCAUACAGUUAAAAUGAAGAUAAAAAAUCCUAAGGACAUAAUGUCCUUUUUAAUAAGAAAACUAAAGAUAAUAGUCAGUCGAGGCUGGAGAAAGAAGAUGCUUCUGAAAAAGAGUGAGAAAUGCACAAAAGCUUAGAGAAUGAACUGAAGAAAGUCCAGAAGACCAGAGGACCCAUCAGCAAGGUGAUUUAGUUGUGCAGAGAGACAACUUUUGUAACCCUGAAAUUCCAUGUGAAAAACAGGAGUUUUUACAUGAGUAUUUAGUUAACAUGGCAUUCACAUGAAAGUGUGCCGAAACCACAUAUAUCACAUGUGAACAUUUUGAAAUUUAUGUUUUUUUCUUUGUGUAAAUGAAAUACCUGAUAAUGUGACUCAUGUUUAGAUGACUGCUUAAGUUGAUUUUUGGAUAUCUUGGUUGUGGGUAGUUUUUCAUUCAUGUAUGUACAUUUGAGAUGCAGAAAAGUGCCUAAAUGUUAUUGUUGUUGUCAUUGUUAUUUUGACUAUAUACAAUGUGUUGUGAAAUAAAUGACCAUGGAACAUUAAUUUGAGCUGAACUUGUUUUAUUAGCUUAUUAGUUUACUUCUAGAGAAAACAGUAAUACAUGACAGUGAAAAAUGACUGAAAAUUAAUCAUGACACAUGUUAGUGUGCCCCCUAAAAG